This 520-nucleotide ribosomal RNA is filed under the name uncultured Glomus. Its description in RNAcentral is "SSU rRNA". It matches the Rfam family "Eukaryotic small subunit ribosomal RNA", at positions 569 to 1087 of the family's 1831-position model. Lineage: Eukaryota; Fungi; Glomeromycota; Glomeromycetes; Glomerales; Glomeraceae. The record is from RNAcentral.
AGCAGCCGCGGUAAUUCCAGCUCCAAUAGCGUAUAUUAAAGUUGUUGCAGUUAAAAAAGCUCGUAGUUGAAUUUCGGGAUCAAUACGUCGGUCGUGCUUCGGUACGUACUGGCGUAAUUGAUUUCUCCCUUCUGACGAACCAUGAUGUCAUUAACUUGGUGUCAUGGGAAAUCAGGACUGUUACUUUGAAAAAAUUAGAGUGUUUAAAGCAAGCUAACGCUUGAAUACAUUAGCAUGGAAUAAUGAAAUAGGACGUUCGAUCCUACUUUGUUGGUUUCUAGGAUUGACGUAAUGAUUAAUAGGGAUAGUUGGGGGCAUUAGUAUUCAAUUGUCAGAGGUGAAAUUCUUGGAUUUUAUUGAAGACUAACUACUGCGAAAAGCAUUUGCCAAGGAUGUUUUCAUUAAUCAAGAACGAAAGCUAGGGGAUCGAAGACGAUCAGAUACCGUCGUAGUCUUAACCAUAAACUAUGCCGACUAGGGAUCGGAUGAUGUUAAUUUUUAAUGUACUCAUUCGGCGUAC